Non-coding RNA from Trichonephila inaurata madagascariensis, 73 nucleotides. The record is from the annotation of a GenBank genome assembly. Lineage: Eukaryota; Metazoa; Arthropoda; Arachnida; Araneae; Nephilidae.
GUCCCUGUAGCGCAAUGGAUAGCGCGUUGGACUUCUAAUCCAAAGGUCGUAGGUUCGAAUCCCACCUGGGAUG